AUUAUAACUUCCACCCGCUCAAGAAUAAACUCUAGUUGUUCAUAAUUCCUCCAUGAUAGAUUCCUCUCUCUCCUUUAUGCCUUUCUUUUAUCCGAACGCACACUUUUCCUUCCCGCUUGGCUAGAAGAUAAACAACAAUACUAGACCAUAUUGAAAUCAAUAGAAAUCUCAUCUCCAUCAUGGCAUCAUUAGCAUCAUCGUAGGCUUUCCUAUUAAAAAGAAGGCAGGACAGAGAGCAUAACUAUAAGUGAAGUUGACCAGAAGUUAUAUCCUACACCACGUGCACCAUAUAGCAGUACACUAUGCCAGUCAUAAAUGCUCAUUUCUAUAAGCUCCAUGUAUUAAGUGCUUGUAUCGGCGAUUAGCCUAUAAAAAUGAGCUCUUGUGAUUGGCAUAGUGCACUGCCACAAAGUGCAUGUGGUGUAGGAUAUAAUUUCUCACAAGUUGAUUCUAUGGACCGAUAGAGUAGAUUUUGUGUAACAAUAUGAUUUCAAGCUUCUCAUAAGGCAGUGAAUUCCCAUAAUAUGAAACUUUAGGUAGAAAGACCUCUUAUAAUAAAAUUCUUUUAUCGCAUAAUGAAAACUUUAUAACUUCCACUCGCUCAAGAAUAAACUCUCGUUGUCCAUAAUUCCUCCAUGCUAGAUUCCUCUCUCUCCUUUAUACAUGUCUCUUAUCAAAC
This 679-nucleotide long non-coding RNA is filed under the name Phoenix dactylifera (date palm). Its description in RNAcentral is "long non-coding RNA (PDAC_LNC002651)". Lineage: Eukaryota; Viridiplantae; Streptophyta; Magnoliopsida; Arecales; Arecaceae. The record is from RNAcentral.